GACGAACGCUGGCGGCGUGCUUAACACAUGCAAGUCGAACGGAAAGGCCCUGCUUUUGUGGGGUGCUCGAGUGGCGAACGGGUGAGUAACACGUGAGUAACCUGCCCUUAACUUUGGGAUAACUUCAGGAAACUGGGGCUAAUACCGGAUAGGAGCUCCUGCUGCAUGGUGGGGGUUGGAAAGUUUCGGCGGUUGGGGAUGGACUCGCGGCUUAUCAGCUUGUUGGUGGGGUAGUGGCUUACCAAGGCUUUGACGGAUAGCCGGCCUGAGAGGGUGACCGGCCACAUGGGGACUGAGAUACGGCCCAGACUCCUACGGGAGGCAGCAGUGGGGAAUAUUGCACAAUGGGCGGAAGCCUGAUGCAGCAACGCCGCGUGCGGGAUGACGGCCUUCGGGUUGUAAACCGCUUUGGCCUGUGACGAAGCGUGAGUGACGGUAAUGGAUAAAGAAGCACCGGCUAACUACGUG
Molecule: ribosomal RNA, 468 nt
Filed under: uncultured bacterium
Lineage: Bacteria
Description: partial 16S ribosomal RNA
Rfam family: Bacterial small subunit ribosomal RNA
Source: RNAcentral